RNAcentral lists this ribosomal RNA (866 nucleotides) under uncultured bacterium. RNAcentral describes it as "bacterial SSU rRNA". It matches the Rfam family "Bacterial small subunit ribosomal RNA", at positions 10 to 872 of the family's 1533-position model. The record is from RNAcentral.
AGUUUGAUCCUGGGUUCCGGACGGAACGCUGGGCGCCGUGCCUUACCACAUGCAAGUCGAGCGAAAUUUUUCAAAAUGGAUUCUUUCGGGAUGAAGUUUUGAUUGUCUUAGCGGCGGACGGGUGAGUAAUGCAUGAGAAACCUGCCUUUCACAAAGGGAUAGCCUCGGGAAACUGGGAUUAAUACCUUAUGAUACUUCAGUGUCGCAUGACACAGAAGUUAAAGCGUAAAGCGGCGAAAGAUGGUCUCAUGUCCCAUUAGUUAGUUGGUGAGGUAAUGGCUCACCAAGACAGCGAUGGGUAGCCGGCCUGAGAGGGUGAACGGCCACACUGGAACUGAGACACGGUCCAGACUCCUACGGGAGGCAGCAGUGGGGAAUAUUGCACAAUGGAGGAAACUCUGAUGCAGCGACGCCGCGUGAACGAUGAAGGCUUUCGGGUCGUAAAGUUCUGUCCUAGGGGACGAUUAUGACGGUACCCUAGGAGGAAGCCCCGGCUAACUACGUGCCAGCAGCCGCGGUAAUACGUAGGGGGCGAGCGUUGUCCGGAUUUAUUGGGCGUAAAGGGUUCGCAGGCGGCCUUUUAAGUCAGAUGUGAAAGCCCACGGCUCAACCGUGGUAAGCAUUUGAAACUGGAAGGCUUGAGUUAAGGAGAGGAAAGUGGAAUUCCUAGUGUAGCGGUGAAAUGCGUAGAUAUUAGGAGGAAUACCAGUGGCGAAGGCGACUUUCUGGACUUAUACUGACGCUGAGGAACGAAAGCGUGGGGAGCAAACAGGAUUAGAUACCCUGGUAGUCCACGCCGUAAACGAUGAGUGCUAGGUGUUGGGGGUCAAACCUCGGUGCCGCAGCUAACGCAUUAAGCACUCCGC